CUCAUCCACCUAUUUUCAUUUCAGAUUGUUUUGUGAGAAAUCCAAGGCCUCUUUCUCAACCCAAACACACCUCCAUAUCAGAAAUAAUGCUCCCAUUUUUCUCAUCCCGCGUUCUCUUUCCUCUCAAACCCCAUUUCUCUGUCAAAUGAAAAAUAUCUCUCAUUUUCUUAUCCCUUCUCACUCUUAGCCAACCACACCCACGGCUCAGCAAAAACCAAAAACAAUCGACUCUGCCAUGGAACUGAUGGUACAUUGAAGCUCCACAUUCCCCUCAAAGGUAAUCAUCGCCCCUGUCCUGCUCAAUUUAUAUGUCCAGCUAAUGAUUUUAGACAGAAAAGAAGAACACUAACGCAUGCUGAUCUGAUUCCUUUGCGAGGAUGCUCGGGUGCACAACGAAAAAGGUCACACCAGGACCAAAAAGGGGCAAUUCCAAGGUCGAUUGUCCAAAGAGCAUUCAUCUGCAGUUGGGAUGCAGUGGUCCAUGAUCGAGAAACUUGACACAGCAAGGAAAAAGGAACACCAGCUAACAUUGCAGAUCCAGGUCUUACAAAAGUAAUAUCUUGUUCUCUGUUGGUGAUGAACCCCAAUCUGUGAAAAAGUUGCUUCAUUACUUCUGCAUGUAGGCAGACAUGUGUUGCUUGUGCAGAACACUCGGAUCCAUGAUAGAGCCAAGGGAAAAAGAAGUAACCACACAAGCUCAACAAACGAAAACAGCACAGGCCGCAUGACCCAGAUCGAUGCAUCUGGGAGCAUUGUGUAGAUGUGGUUGAUGUGAAGGUAGACUUGCUGUUGGGUGCAAGAUUCCAGCAUAGGACGCGCUUUAUUUUCCACGUUCGCAACCUGCAAUUAACCAAUAUGCGUUAAAAAAAAACAAAAAAAAAAACUGGAUCCCCAGAAAUUAAAGAUUGCUUAAAAGUACCCUUCAGAGAAGGAACCACUGCAAAUUUUUCUCCCUGCGUCUCCUCAAAGUCUACUCCAGUUCUGGAUCAAAAGGAAACAAUUUCUGCACUGUUGAACGGGUGCUGACAAUGCACAGAUUAUCUUUGUAAUCUGAACUGUACUGCUGUAAUUUGUGAAAAAUAAAAUAAAAAAGAAAAUUAAAUUAUUAUUUUUUUAUAUGUAUAAACAGCAAUAACUAAUUGAAAAUCUGAUUAGUAA
This is a long non-coding RNA of Malus domestica (apple), 1158 nucleotides long. RefSeq lists it as uncharacterized. The record is from RefSeq and is a predicted model, not a curated record. NCBI's taxonomy places the organism in Eukaryota, Viridiplantae, Streptophyta, Magnoliopsida, Rosales, Rosaceae.